GGACCAGUGAGGGAACUGCCAAGCCCCACGCUCCGCAGAAAGUCUGUGGGGAUCAUCGGGGCCACAAGUCAUUAGCAGGACGUUUCAGGGAGGUUACGAAUCUGUUGAUGGCUAGGCGCCCCCCAGGAGGGGAAAGACUGAUUCCCCCACACGGAGGAGAGAAGGAUGCUCAGAGAGCCCAAGUCACCUACCUGGGCUCACACAGCUAGAAUGAGCACUUCCUCACAAAGAAGAAAAGAAAGCCACACGCCCAAGAACAGGAGAGAGGAGCAGCCAGAAGCAAGUAGAAGUGAUGUCUCCAGCCAUGAGGCCCGCGGGAACAAGCACGUGAGUCCCACGCACAUGGCCGAACCCCCGCUGCUCCACUUCCUCCUGGGGCCCCCUCCUCAGUGAAGCUGGGGCAGACGCGGGACUGGAAUCACAUCCCGGGAUCUCUGGAGCUCUGGUUUCACAGACACUGUGAGCACCGGGUGCCGAGUCACCCAGAGCCUUGGUCCAUGGCUCACGACAAAGGAAGCAGGGUGACACAAGGAUAGUGAUGCCCUGGGGACGGCGCAGAGGCCUGUCUACCACCCAUGCGUCCAAGAACGAAGGCUCCCCGCGCAAGGGGGUCCCCGGGGUGGGGUCGAAAGCCUGCAAUUACUGCUGAUGACAACCUUCGGGCCAGCUCCAUGGUGCGGUUUAUGGAGACUCUGAGCCGGACACACAGAGGUUCGCUGCGGGAUGAAAGGCCAGCUGGAAGGGCAUGAUGGGCAGGGGACGGGCACGGCCUGGGAAAAGGACACAAACGCACGAAUGUCAUCAGUCUGGGCUGGUGGCUGCUGGGUGCCAUCCUUCCAUCCCGCGCCCACUGCGUGGGGUCAAGACUUGUCCGCAUCCGGGGAAGGAGUGACCACAACACCCUGGGCUCCUGGAACCGCUUGUCCCCUCUAAGCUCCCACUCCAGCCUCAAUGGUCCAUCCUAACAUGGUUCCCCAUGGCCCCCAGCAGGAACCAUAAACUCACAUGCCCUUGGGGACCAGGCUGGGGACCAAGGAGUGAAGGAGGCUGGAGGGAGACAAUAGGGAGUGGUGGAGACUGUGAACAACGGGAGACCACAGGCCCCUGACACUGGGCAGCUGUCACUCAGCUCCAACUCGUGUUCGUCAUGCAGGACUGUGGGUCCAGGGCUGCCAGAGUUUUCCAUUGUUCGAGUAAGUCAGAAAGCUGGAUUGUUUUUAAUCCUGAUUUCUAAAUAUUGCAAUUCCAACAAAACAAUAGAAAUCUAGGUGCUGUACGAACCACACAAGGUUCUCUGUGGCUGGCUUUGCCCCUUGGCCUCAGAUGAAGUGGAGCCCUGGUGGCCUGGUCCCCGGCCCCCUCUCCAGGCCCCUCUUCCCUUUCUCCUCCUCUCCAG
RNAcentral lists this long non-coding RNA (1396 nucleotides) under Equus caballus (horse). Its description in RNAcentral is "lncRNA (ENSECAG00000060132.1)". The record is from RNAcentral. Lineage: Eukaryota; Metazoa; Chordata; Mammalia; Perissodactyla; Equidae.